CCAUGAAGCUGGAUUCGCUAGUAAUCGCGCAUCAGCCACGGCGCGGUGAAUACGUUCCCGGGCCUUGUACACACCGCCCGUCAAGCCAUGGAAGCCGGGAGUGCCUGAAGUACGCGACCGCAAGGAGCGUCCUAAGGUAAAACCGGUGACUGGGGCUAAGUCGUAACAAGGUAAC
RNAcentral lists this ribosomal RNA (175 nucleotides) under uncultured bacterium. RNAcentral describes it as "partial 16S ribosomal RNA". It matches the Rfam family "Bacterial small subunit ribosomal RNA", at positions 1318 to 1500 of the family's 1533-position model. The record is from RNAcentral.